Micropterus dolomieu (smallmouth bass) is the source of this 724-nucleotide long non-coding RNA. RefSeq lists it as uncharacterized. The transcript is spliced from 3 exons. The record is from RefSeq and is a predicted model, not a curated record. Lineage: Eukaryota; Metazoa; Chordata; Actinopteri; Centrarchiformes; Centrarchidae.
CCCAUCCCAUCUAUCCAAGUGCACCUCCAUCGCUGCCGUAAGAUCUGGAGGGUUGCUCGCUCUGCCCUUCUCCGCACCACUGAAAACAACCGGUGCUUGGCAGAUUGGCACAGACUCAGGCUCCCCAUUACCUUCAAGAUCGUCGAUGACCACCCGGCAUACUCGGUUAGCCGGCUCCUGGACGUCCACCACCAGGUCAGGGGGUUGCUGUAUCUGGUGGACUGGGAAGGGUAUGGCCCUGAAGAGCGUUUGUGGAACCCAUGGUCUUUCAUUAUGAAUCCUCGGCUCAUCGGCCUGGUGGGUUCGCCCGGAGGCUCCCCUUGCGGGGGGUACUGUUAUGAGUCUGCAGUUCUCCUCUCCUACCCCAUGUGUUUCUGUUCUCCUCCCUCCUAGUGUCUCCUGUUAGUCUCCCUGUCUGUCUCUCUGUGUUGUCUGUGUGCCUGUUUGGGGCGUGGCUUCUCAGUCUGUGCCUGGCUCUCCACCUCCUCCUGCACACCUGAUCUACAUUCCACUAAUCAAGACUCUGCAGUAUAUCAACCCAGUUCUUCACCUCAAUCGUCGCCAGAUCGUCAGCUCACCUCAGUGGAUCACUGCCUGCCUGGAGGAUCUGCCAUCUGUCAAGCUCAGCUCACUGCCCGCCUGGAAAUUCACUCGCUGGUCUCCAUUCCCUGGUAUGCCCCCUGCUCAGCUCUCACGCCUUGUUUCAAUAAACUUUAAAUUCCUG